UGGGGAAUUUUGGACAAUGGGCGCAAGCCUGAUCCAGCAAUGCCGCGUGAGUGAAGAAGGCCUUCGGGUUGUAAAGCUCUUUUGUCAGGGAAGAAACGGUUGGGGCUAAUAUCCCCGGCUAAUGACGGUACCUGAAGAAUAAGCACCGGCUAACUACGUGCCAGCAGCCGCGGUAAUACGUAGGGUGCAAGCGUUAAUCGGAAUUACUGGGCGUAAAGCGUGCGCAGGCGGUUUUGUAAGUCUGACGUGAAAUCCCCGGGCUCAACCUGGGAAUUGCGUUGGAGACUGCAAGGCUGGAGUCUGGCAGAGGGGGGUAGAAUUCCACGUGUAGCAGUGAAAUGCGUAGAGAUGUGGAGGAACACCGAUGGCGAAGGCAGCCCCCUGGGUCAAGACUGACGCUCAUGCACGAAAGCGUGGGGAGCAAACAGGAUUAGAUACCCUGGUAGUCCACGCCCUAAACGAUGUCUACUAGUUGUCGGGUCUUAAUUGACUUGGUAACGCAGCUAACGCGUGAAGUAGACCGCCUGGGGAGUACGGUCGCAAGAUUAA
This 549-nucleotide ribosomal RNA is filed under the name uncultured Massilia sp. RNAcentral's name for it is "bacterial SSU rRNA". It matches the Rfam family "Bacterial small subunit ribosomal RNA", at positions 355 to 897 of the family's 1533-position model. Lineage: Bacteria; Pseudomonadati; Pseudomonadota; Betaproteobacteria; Burkholderiales; Oxalobacteraceae. The record is from RNAcentral.